CUUCGGUUAACCACGGCAAACGGGUGAGUAAUACCUAGGAACAUCCCUUGAGUCGAGCAUAACCUAUCGAAAGGUAGGACAAUUCUCGAUGUGGCCCCUACGCAAGUAGUGGCUAAAGUCGCAAGACGCUCAAGAAAUGGCCUGGGCACCAUCAGCUAGUUGGUAGGGUAAAGGCCUACCAAGGCGACGACGGUUAGGGGCCCCGAGAGGGGAGACCCCCACACUGGAACUGCGACACGGUCCAG
RNAcentral lists this ribosomal RNA (245 nucleotides) under uncultured bacterium. Its description in RNAcentral is "partial 16S ribosomal RNA". It matches the Rfam family "Bacterial small subunit ribosomal RNA", at positions 83 to 334 of the family's 1533-position model. The record is from RNAcentral.